This 253-nucleotide ribosomal RNA is filed under the name uncultured bacterium. Its description in RNAcentral is "partial 16S ribosomal RNA". It matches the Rfam family "Bacterial small subunit ribosomal RNA", at positions 524 to 776 of the family's 1533-position model. The record is from RNAcentral.
UACGUAGGGGGCUAGCGUUGUCCGGAUUUAUUGGGCGUAAAGAGCGUGUAGGCGGCCAGGUAGGUCUGGUGUGAAAACUCGAGGCUUAACCUCGAGAUGUCAUCGGAAACCAUUUGGCUAGAGUCCGGAAGAGGAGAGUGGAAUUCCGAGUGUAGAGGUGAAAUUCGUAGAUAUUCGGAGGAACACCAGUGGCGAAGGCGGCUCACUGGUCCGGUACUGACGCUGAGGUGCGAAAGCGUGGGGAGCAAACAGG